CAGGCCGGAAUCUUCUGCUAGAGCACUUCCGGUCGGCGUUGCCGUCCCGGGUUCCACGCCGGAAGAGGAGGGGUCGGCGUCCUCCCCGCUGCACGUGUGGCGAGCUUCGGCGGCUUCUCCUCAGUGGGCAGGCUGGUUGGAGGUUCUCCGGGCACCCCGGCACCCCGGCACCUGGCUGUCGCAUUCCAUCCUGUAAUGAAGUGCAUCUGACUGCCGUGAGAAGAAGGGUCAAGCUGUUACCGUGGGACCCAAAGACCUCACCUUGUAUCAUCUUAUUAGACUAUCGGGUGUGGCCAGAAACCUUCAGUACUGGCGAACGUAGCUGCAUAACUGGGGAUGACACGGAAAGGGAGAAUCAGCUAUGAGAGAUUUCCAGCCAUGAUGGAAACAAUGUGAGUAGAAAGAUACUUUGUUUAAGAAAAGGAUGAAAUAAUGACUAUCAUAUAAAGAUGAGCAC
Molecule: long non-coding RNA, 457 nt
Organism: Sapajus apella (tufted capuchin)
Lineage: Eukaryota; Metazoa; Chordata; Mammalia; Primates; Cebidae
Exons: 3
Source: RefSeq, a predicted model, not a curated record